AACGAACGUUAGCGGCGCGCCUAAUACAUGCAAGUCGAGCGAGAAAGGGAUUCGUCCCCAGUAAAGCGGCGCACGGGUGAGUAACACGUAGGUCAUCUACCCUCGGGUGGUGGAUAACAUUCCGAAAGGAGUGCUAAUACAGCAUAACACCGCAAGGACAAAGCGGGCCUCUCUAUAGAAGCUCGCGCCUGCGGAUGAGCCUGCGGCCCAUCAGCUAGUUGGCAGUGUAGAAGACUACCAAGGCUAAGACGGGUAGCUGGUCUGAGAGGAUGAACAGCCACACUGGAACUGAGACACGGUCCAGACUCCUACGGGAGGCAGCAGUAGGGAAUCUUGCGCAAUGGGCGAAAGCCUGACGCAGCGACGCCGCGUGAGUGAUGAAGGCCUUCGGGUUGUAAAGCUCUGUGGGGAGAGAAGAAUAAGUGCAAGCUAAUACUUUGCAUGAUGACGGUAUCUCCUUGGCAAGCACCGGCUAACUCUGUGCCAGCAGCCGCGGUAA
This 499-nucleotide ribosomal RNA is filed under the name uncultured bacterium. Its description in RNAcentral is "partial 16S ribosomal RNA". It matches the Rfam family "Bacterial small subunit ribosomal RNA", at positions 29 to 523 of the family's 1533-position model. The record is from RNAcentral.